GGCCUCAGAAGAACUCCAUAUUGGCCAUACUCGUUGCCUACUUUCACUUCAUCAUAUGUUUAUAGGCUUUUCCUGAAUGUAAGCACAUACUUUGCAACCCCAGAACUGGACGAAUACAUUGUAUGAGUCACAAACGAUUGAAGCCUACCACGGUGGAAGGCCACGAAAGAGUGUUCAAAGCACUCUCACGCUUUUCAACUUAAUAUUGGUUUGGUUGAGGGUUUUAGGUCUCAUCACACAUAAACAUACAUUUUAAUCUCUAUUAAAACUAUUUUGGUCCUAUUACAACUAUUGGUCCAUUUGAUUGUUUUUAGUUGUAUAUAAUACUCCCACUAUGCUUAUAAAACGGUUUUUAAAGCAAGAGUAUAUGAUACUACUAACAUAACCUUUGCAUUCAUUUGAUGGACUAUAUAGUUGCCUUAGGGCCUUAGGAUGAUUAUGAACCUUUGUUUAGAUUCAACACGAGCCUUGUGUUGAAUCUCGGUCUAGGAAUGGUGAUUGAUUUUAGUUACGCGUUUAAUCACAUUAAGGCGUGUUGUCUUAGGGGCGUUGGACCCAACUACUUCAUUUUCAUGCAUAUCAAAUAAAGCAAGAAAGAAGUACUUCAAAGUAAAGGUGAGCUUAUGCUCAUUACAACAUUUGCAUAAAACAAAUUACUUUAAAGUAAAGAAGAGCUUAUGCCCUUUUACCACAUUUGAUCAAAUCAAAUUACAACCAAAAUCUAAUCUACACAUUCCCAUGGUUCAAACAAAUUUGAAACGGCCUUUCACAUAGCUCAAUUAUAUUAGGCUUAGGUUCAUAAUCACCCUUUAAUUAAUUAACACUUUAACUAAUUAAAUUGAAUGCAACAUUUUCAUUUGGUUUUUGUAUCCAUAAAAUUGAUUUAAAUGGAGCUAAACAAAAUGAAAAUCCAAUUCUCAUUUAAAAAGAGACAAAACAAUUUUGUUCUCAACCUAAUUUGGGCCAUCAUGCAAUAACCACAACUUUUGGGCCAUAAAGCAAUUAACCUUAACUUUUGGGCUAUGUUGCAAAACUUUUGGGGUCACUUUGUAAAGACACAAAAGUCCACUACUUCAUGUAAUUACAAUAGAACCCAAAAUUUAAUCAAUGCAAAAACUUCAUUAAAGGAUCAAAACAAUUUGUCCUUUAGCGUUUUUGGACCUUAACGUAAAAACGUAAACUUUUGGGCCAAAGUGCAAAUACACAAAAGUAUCAAAACUUUAUGUAAUUGCAUAAAAGUCCCAAAAGUACUCCCACUUGAGGGAGGGCCGGUUUUGGAAGAAGAAAUGGAGUGAUGUGUGUGUGAUUUGUAGUUUGACAUAAAGCAUGCAAGUGCACAAGUGGUGUGUGUGAAAGGGUUUUAAUCCUUUCACACCCACCAUUAUUUCUAUUGCCAUUUAAACAAAUAUCUAAAACAUUUAAACAUUUGAAAAACAUAAAACAAAGACUUUAUGAAAUAAAUCAAAACUUUGAAUCAAAACACAAACCUUUUUGUUCUUGGCAAAAAUGUCAAGAACAAUGAAGAACAUUCAUGAAAAACCCAAAAUUUUUCCAUGAACUUUUUCCACCCAAAAACAUUCCAAAACCAUUCAAACUUUAGGGAAAUAACAUCUAACCAAACUAGGGUACAUAGGGGUUCCAAAAGUCACUUGAAAACACUUUUAACAAGUCAAACAAGAACCCAAAAAUCCACCCUUUGGAUUUGGCCGAAUUUUCCCAAAGUCAUGGCACCAAAUUUUAGCUCCAAUAUUCAUGCUCAUAUGAACUACAUCUACAACAUUUGAGAUGGCAAAUUUUCCAACAAAAUUUACAUUCAAAGAAACAAGAAUAAAGCUUGUAACAAUUACAACUUUUAAAUCACAAACUAUGAACCACAAAACCCAAAAGGAUUCACCAACUACUAGACCUAGGCUUUGAUACCACUUGAAGGAUUAUUAUGUGAAAACAUGUUCAUUUAAGCAACAUCAAUAAGCAUGCAAUUAACAAUUAAAGGCGGAAUCAUGCAAGCAUGCACUUAAAAACAAAACAUUAACCAAGAAAUUCAAAGCCUAGUAGAUUGGUGAACCAUUAAUCAACUCAAAACAAAGUGAGUUGAAAUUUAUACCUUUGAAGAUUCCUCUUUGCAUAAGCAAAGGCUAAUCACCCAAAGAGAGGGCCUUCAUUCCUUGCAUCUUAAAUCUAUGGAUUUGGAUGGAAGAAUAGGUUUCUCCUAGUUCCCAAAAUAGGGAACCUCUAAGUCUCUUCACCAAGGUUAGAUUGGAGAAGAUAUGAGUGACCUUGGAGUAGUAGGAUUACUAGAUGUACCCCCCAAGGUGGCCGGCCUCUUUAGAGAGAGAAAUGGAGAGACAUGUUCUCUCCAAUUUUCCCCAAAACAAACCCUAAUGAAUUUUAGGCUAUAAAGUCAUAUUUAUAUACCUUUAUUCAUUUGAGUGGCAAACUUGUAAUUAAGUCCAAGUUCACUACCCUUAGCAUCAUGGCCGGCCUUGGGGUAUUUUUGGGUUGUUUGGGCCUUUGUGAAUCAUUAUUCAUUAAGUUGUCAUACAACUUAAGUUAAUGGGCUUGACGUUCGAAGCCCAUUGGGCCUUAAGGUCCAAAAACUAUCCCGAGGUCUUUAACGAACUUAUUCGUUUGAUUAAUUAACAUAUUAAUUAAUCCUUGCCAUAAAUAAAUGAUUAAACCAUUUAAUCAUUCUUACUCAUCUCCGUUUAAUCUCCAAUCUCCACCUCUUAUGGUGUGCGAUCCAUUAGGUUCCUUUUAGCGAGGCAGUGGGCGAUUAAAACCAUUUUACAUCGAUUAUGAAUUGAAACUUACUUUCAAUUCUCCCUUUAGUGAUUACACACGUUUAGGGCUUCCACAAACCAUGAGUGGCACCUAGCAGCAUAUCAUGGUUACCCAAGCUAAUCAGAAGAGGUUAGAGAACCUAUUCAGUUUGGGAUUACAAAUGCAAUACGGUCUUUCUCUAAUCUAAUACUCUUGACCACAUUGUUUGGUUUGAUAGUUUAUAUGUUCAUGUCUACUAUCCAAUGUGAUUCGUGUGCUUAUAUGAUUUCCUUGAAUGUGAUUUAGAAUGACUUUUCUAAAUCUCAUUCAUACUCUGGCCAGAGAUUCUAAAUCAUAUCAUAGAGUAUUCUCCCUCAAACAGUUUGAAGGUUAGAGAUCCCUUGUUGCGCAUUCACUUGCCUCCAUGGCUAAGUGGCUUAACCCCAACGAUGCCGUGGACACCCUCCUGAUGGAGUGACUUUGACAUAAUCAAAGAUCAAGGACUUAACCACAAGACAACUAUGAUGCCUCAGGUCAAAGGACUACUUUGCAUUAUCCCAACCAUGAGUUCUCAUGUGACAUGAGUAUGAGAACUCUUCGUCGAUCACGUUCAGUGAACUCAUUCUCUAUUGAGCACCUACGUACUUGUCUUGAUGUCACACACACCAAUGACUCGAGACUAGUCACUCUCCUUGAGAGAAGACAUAGCACGUACCGAUCUUGAUGGACUGUCAAUGCCCAAUUGGCAAUCCUAUGAUCAGGAACAUUUAGGAUGUGUCUACGAAAGAAUGGUCUCAUGAAUCUAACUUCAUUAGAUUACAUUCUCCCAAUCACAUAUUCCUUGGACUUUAUCGUUUAAGCAUAUAACAUUUAUAUGAGACGGCUCAAACAAUAAUCUUUGCCCUUUAUAUUAAACUAGAUUAGUUUAACAUGUGAAAUGUACGUAAAGUAUCAUCAUAUGAUUGGCUUUAGGGCACAUUUCCAACAUGGGGUUCCCACACAGCUUGUUUGGUGAAUAAUUCCUUGUGAACUUAAGUAUUGAGUCAUGAUAUUGGAUAAGAACUCAGUGUCAUUGUCUGAUCUUAAGGUUUUAACAGUUGGGUGAAAUUGUGUUACAACCAACUUAUGAAAAUCUUUAAAAAUAGUUGGAACUUCACUUUUAGAUUUCAUGAGAUAAAGGAAAGUGAUUCAAGUGUAAUCAUCCACAAAUAUAACAAAAUACUUGUAACCCUCUAUUGAUUCAAAAGUAAGACCUCAUACAUUAGUGUGUACCAUUUCAAAUGGUGUACUAGACUUGGACAUUGAAGAACCAAAAGGUAGCCUAGCAGAUUUGGAAAAAUGGCAUGUAUCACACUUAAAAGAUGGGUGACAAAACAUGGGAAAUAGUUUUGACAAAACAACUUCGGAUGGAUGACCUAGUCUUUGAUACCAAAGUUGUUGAUCCUGGGGUUUACUUGAGUUUUCUUGAAGAGCUUUAGGAAGAUAGGACUUCUUGCAAAAAUAAUACAGGCCAUUUAGAAAGAAACCUUCACCAAUCAUCUUCUUAGUGAUACAUGAAGGAAAUUUUUUGUCCUAGCUAAGAACAUGUGAGAAUAUUUGAACACAUAUGCAAACUAUUAACACAUUAAAGUAGGCAUGCAUUCAAAAACAAUUCUAAAACCCAUGACUUUCAAAGCCUAGUGAAUGGUGAACCACAAGACUCUUUAACAACAUUAAAGAGAAAGAAGGUUUUAGAGAUUCAUUACCCUUGAAGCUCAUCCUUGUUUACACAAGGGAUUCACCCAAGUGGAGGGCCUUCAAGUCAUCUCCUAGCUCCUUGGAUCUUCCUUGUGAUUUUCUUCCUUUUGAUGCUCCUUUGCUCCUUGAGGAUGUGAGGAAAGGAUCUCCAAAAACACCAAAAAUUUGGUGUCUCUAAGUCUCCACACCAAGGAUGAGGUGUGAAGAUGAAAUGGAUGACUUAAAGAAGAAAAGAUUGUUAGCUAUAUCUUCUCCAAGUGGCCGGCCUCCUUUAGAGAAAAAGAGAGAAAAUGUUUCUCAUCUUUGCCUCAAGAAAACCCUAAUGAGGUAAAAGCUAUAAAGAUGUUUUUAUAUCUCUUUUCUUAGGUGAGUGGCAAACUUGCAAUUAAGCAAAACUUACCACUCCGUCACUAUGGCCGGCCUCUUUUAAGUAAUUGGGCUAUUUGCCCAUAUUUGUUUUAGUUGUCAUACAACUUAAACGUAAUGGGCCUAGUAGACCAAACCCUUUUGGACCCCGAAGUCCAAAACUAACUUAAAAGCCCAAUACGAACCUUUCGUAUAAUUAAACCAUUUAAACCAUUUAAUUGCUUAUCCAUUUCAUUUAUAUUUCUUCACUUUCAUCCUUACUCGAUGUACGAUCCAUUAGGUUCCAAUUAGCGAGGCAGUGGGCGUUUGUUACUCUUAACGAUCGAUUGUGAAUUGAAACUACAUUUCAAUUCUCCCUUUGAUUAAGAUUAGUGUUUGCUAAUCUUCAGGGCUUCCACAAAGCAUGAGUGACACCUAGCAGCAUGUCAUGGCUACCCAAGCUAAAUAGAAUUGGUUGGAGAACCUAUCCAGUUACAAUUACAAUGCAAUACGGUCAUUCUCUAAUACAAUACUCUUAAUCACAUUGUUUGAGUGAUAGUUUGUAUCAUGUCUACUAUCCAAUGUGAUACUUCUCUAUAUGAUUCAAUUGAAUAUGAUUUGGAACAUACUUCCUAAGUCAUAUUCGUAUGCUUUGGCCAAAGACUCCCGAAUCAUAUCUUAGAGUAUUCUCCUUCCACCAUGGAAGGUUAGAGAUUCCUUGUUGUGCAUUCAUAUGCCUACAUGACUAGAUAGCUUGACCCCAACAAUGCCGUGGACACUCUCGAUGGAAUGCCUUUGCAUGAUCAAAGAUCAAGGACCUAACCAUUAGACAUCUAUGAUGCCUCAGGUCAAAUGACUACUUUGCAUAUUGCGAUUUACGAGUUCUUACAUGACAUGUAUGUUCGAACUUUCUUUUGAUCGUUGUUCAGUGUACUUGAUUACUCUUUCAAGCACCUAUGUGUUUGUCUUAGUGUCCAACACUAAAUGACUUGAGACUAGUCAUACUCACGCUUGAGUUGACAUCACACAUACUAACCUUAGCGGAUUGUCAAUGCCCAAUUGGCAAUCCUAUGGCUAGGAACAUUUUUGCAAUGAACAUAAGAGAAAGGUCUCGUUAAUCUAACCUAUUUAAAUCACUUCUCUCUUAGAUCAAAUACAUUCCUUGGAUUCCCUUAUUGCUUAAACACAUGAUACAAUAAAUAAUGAUUAACAAUUUAAGCUUUGCCCUUCAUUAAACAUAUAAUAGUUUAAUACAAUAAGUAUUCCAAAAGCUAUUACAUCAAAUGAGUGGCUUUGUGGGCAUACUUCCAACAAUACAAUCGUAAAAUACCACAUUAGUUGGUGAGAAAGUGGCAGUGCAUUUUAAAGUAGAGGUGAGUUACCCUAUGGAGAGUAAUUUAAAGGGAAACGAUGGAACAUAUAGAGCACUAGACUCGAUGUUUUUUUACAUCAAAUUUAAUUUUCCUUUGCCCAUAACCGAAACAUUUUUUCCAUUUGCAAUGGACACUUGAGAAGGUUUUGAAAAAUGAUGAAAGUCAUGCAAGUUUGAAACUUUAUUUGUCAUGUGAUCAAUGGCACCUGAGUCGAUUAUCCAAUAAUCAAGUUCAACACUAGUUUGAAGUGCAGUGGAGAAAGCAUUGAAGAUACCUGAAGCUUUAUCAGGAUGAACAUGGUCAUGGUCAGCAAGGAACCCAGCAAAUUGGCCAAGAAGUGCAAUGUGGUUGUCACUGUCCACCUUAGGAGUUGGGUACAACCUCUCCAUGCCCUUUGCUUUGAAGAUAUGCUGCAAACUCGUUGAUAAGAGAUAAGGGGUUGGCAGUGAAGUCAACUGAGCUAUGGUUGAGCAAGCUCGAGGCAUGAUUUGCAACAUGUUAUGCUUUGUAGAAGAUUAUCUGUGAUGCUCUGGGAGUGAUUGACCUAAUAUUCUUAUAGAACUUAGGUUUCAACUCUGGAUGUAAUUCCUAGCACCUUUCUUCCACAUGUCCUGUAGCAUUGCAGUAUUUGCACUUUAAGUGUGGAUUCCUCCCCUUGUACACUUUGUUAUCAGUUUGCCUGUAGUUUGCAGCAUACCCUCGAGCCUCAGGUAAUUUGUGGCUUGACUCUUGGUUCAUCACCCUUCUUCUUGCUUCUUCACGUUGCACAAUAGCGCAAACAUUUUGAAAAAUGGCAGCUCUAUGCUCAUAAAAAUGUGACUUCUGAGAUCUUCAUACUCGGAGCUUAAGCUUCUUAGCAACUGAUAUAUCUUAUCUUCCUCAACAUGUUUGAGAAGAAUAGAUGGAUCAAUGGUAUGAGGAAGAUACAUAUCCAGCUCAUUCCACAUGGUUUUAAGGACACCAAGAUGUUAAACAAAGGUCAUUCAUUCUUGUUGAAUACAUGCAAUAUCUUUCUUCAAUUCGAACACACGAGCAUAAUUAUUCUGGUUCCCAUACAUGUCUUUCACAGACUUCCAUAGAUCUUGUGAGGAUUCAGCGUAGCUAAAGAUCUCAGCCACAUGCUUCUCCAUGUUGUUGAGUAACAAAGACAUGACCAGUUGGUUCUUGCAUAAGCAUGCUUUAUGUGCUUGAGUGAAAGGCUCAGAUGCUUCAACUCCUCCAUUGAUAAACCCUAGCUUUCCUCUUCUAUAGAGAGCAAAUGACAUUGCUCUAGACUAUGGGAGAUAGUUGAAUUUAUUCAACAAAGCUAAGCAUAAACACUGAUUUGUAUUUAUCUCAGUGUCUGGAACAAAAGCGGGAGAAACUUGUGAGUUUUCUCUUUCAAGAUUCACUGAGUUUUCUUCAGCCAUUACUGGAGCUUGAAGAUGAACAACAACGGAAAAAAAAAUUGGGCAGAGACAGGUCAAGGAUGACACUGCUCUGAUACCAUGUUGUAGUUUUGGUUUAAGUUUUCUUGUAUUUCUGAUAAUGUGAAUGUACAAGGAUACACAUAUAUAAAAGAAAAGAGAAUAAGAGAAGAGCUAGUUACAUCCAACGAUCCUUAGGCUAAACCCUAGAGACCAGAUAUACUCCUUAAUUGAAGGAGAUUACAGCAAACACUAGAUAUCAGCUAUACUCCUUAAUUGAAGGAAACCAACUACAAGACUAAGAAGAGAUUUACACAUAAUCUGUCAGGAAACACAAAAGGUGCUAUGCAGCCCAUGUUGUACCCAUGAUUUCUGGAAUUGCAUAAUCAGUCAAUACAUGUCUGCACAACCAUAUUUGUGGGCGAUCUUCAGGGGGAGAUAGAUUGGAACUCGUUGUUGUAGCUAAUGAUGUGGGUGACGACGAUGAGGCUGUUAGUGUAACUUUCGUUGACUUGGCUCAAUGUGGCUAUUGGGCAGCACUUAGCUUCACCACCAAAUUCCUAUCUUCAUCAAAAUCAUAAUCGGAACAGACAAUGAAAACUACGGCUUCGAAUUGACCGCGGAGGAUUCUGGUUUCAUGGGUGGUGGCUUCUUUUCGGCAACGAAUGUUGAAGACGAGGUCUUUGGAGAUAGAGCCUCUCUAGUUCGGAAUCUGACCAUAUAUGGCUUCCUUAUCUUCCCUCUUCUUCCUCCAACGAGACUUCCCCUUCUUCCAAUGAAGAAGUUGUCGGCGGUUUAUCCAGCGGAGAUAGGUGCUUAGGAGCUAUGGAAGAAGCUGUCGACGGAUCGUUUCCUUUGAAUUUUUUCUAAGUUUUUCAAAUUUGGUUUUCUUUGAAAUUUCUGGGUUUUUGAAUUGGGAAGGGAAGAAGAAGAUUUUUUUUUUGUUUAUAUUUUAAGUUUUUAAUUGAUGUGAAAAUUAACUUGACACACAAAUUAAACCCUAUGGAUGACAAUUAUAGUAUAUGAGCAAAUAGGGAUCGUUCUAAACCGGGGAUUAACUAGGGCUGCUAAUCUACUCAAAUUAAACUUUAAAACACUAAACUAGACUUAAAAACACAAGAAUAGACUCUAUAGACUCUAAUCUGACCUAAGACACUCAAAUCUGCAAAACUUAGUGAAAUUGACUCAAUUCUAAACCUAACAAGUGAUUUAGACAAAAUUAACUCUUACUUUGACUCAAAAGAUUAAAAGAGAAAACAGAUUGUAACUUAACUAACUCAGAAAACACUUAAAAGACUCAAAACAGCACACUACUAACAAUUAGACUCAAAACAGAUUCUAGAGAUGAAAUUGGACGAAUUUAAGACUAAACUAAGACUCAAACAAUGUUUAUGGACUAAACCUAACCUAUUUUGACUCAAAACACUCUAAAGAACCUAAUUAGGACAGAUUCUGACCUAAUAACAUAAAACAGAAAAGGGUGUUUGAUUUGUUGACGAAAUUGAAUUAAAACUAAACAAAUUGCAAAUCAAGCAAACUAAAACGAAAUUGAGAUGAAUUCAAGGGUGAAAAACUAGUUAGAGGAUCCUUAUCCACACAUGAACAUAUGCAUAUAAUUUGAUUCCCAGUUAUGACUUCAACAAACGAUGAAUGACAAUGCUCCAAGUUAAUUAGGUCCGCUUAAAUUAACUUUCCGAUUUCCUUAGAUUCAUUGGAUUGAAUGGAAUACGCAUUACAACCAAAUUAUUCCUCAUCAAAGUCCCUAACUAUGGAAUACGCAUGGUAGAGACAUUCAACAAAGAUCAUUAAGUUCAACGGAAAUCAUAAACAUCGACUAGGCAUUCAUAACUAUGGAAUACGCAUGUUAAUCCAGCCUAGGGUUUACUUAACACAAUCGUGACUAGCGACUUUUACUACUUAUGAAUAUAAGUUAAUAACGAUUAGGUGAAAUUCCCUUAUAUCCUAGCAUCAAGUUUAGGCAUGCAAAUUAAGUGUCGACGCUCAACCCACAUACAUAAGCAUGUUAUCAAUCAAAACAGAAAAGUAAAACACAUCUAAAGUUCAUGAAUUCAUAACUAAAGUAAAUCAAAUCAUCCAACAUAUGUCCAUGGCUUCAAAUUCGCCUCUAACUAAAAAGAAAUUAGUUCCACAUGUUUAACAUAAUUGAACAGCAAGUUAAAUUAAACAUGAAAACAGAAACAAGAGAAGAAAGAACUCCAAACACUCCACUAGUUGCAGAUUGCAUGUGCAAGGUCUCUUCCUUCCUUUGGUUUGCACGGCACUACUCUUCUCCUCCUUCAAUGGUGGCUGCACAAGGUGGUUAUGGUGAUGGAAAGGUGCGGCUAUGGUUGAAUUUUGGCAGAAAGUUGGGAGUUUGGGGGUGGAAGCUGCGGCAAGAAUUAGAACUAGGGUUUUUGGGCGUGUAGAAUGAAUAUGGGGGGUGGUCCUUUCGGCCAAAGGGUUUAAUGAGUAUAUACAGGCACUUAAAAACCCUAGCAAAUCAGAUUAGGGUUUCUAGAAACCCAAAUCCACCAGAAAAUAGGUUAAAACAAUCAGAAUUUUAGUGGGAAAAGGGCCUAGGGUGCGGCAGGUUUAAUGGGCUAGGGUUAGGGCUUCUAGAAUGCCUUGCAAGGCAAGGCAAAUAGGUGUUCUAGAAGGGAAAGGUGCGGCUGAUUAGUGGGAGUGUGGAUAGGGCUUCUAGAAAGCCCAAAACCAAGAGAAAAUAAGCCCUAACCCACGGCAAGGAUGAGAAAAUAUUCUAACACCUUUCUUUGUGUCUUCCAACGCUUCGGAACCUUCUAAUGUUGCUCAAACGCAAGGCCAUUUAGGUUUAGGAAAGAUCAACCCAAAAUGGAAACUUUUAGGCUUAGCUUUCCUACUUCAAGUAGGAAACCUCGUUUGAGUAGGAAUCUUCCUUUUCUCGGAAUCCAUCUUCAACUAGGAAUCCCUCGUUGAUUAGGAAUCCUUCUUCAGUUAGGACUCCUCCUCGGACUAGGAAUCCUUCUUGUACUAGGAAUCCUUAAAUCUUCAAAUCUUCAAUUUCAUCCCAACCUUGUGUUCCAAGCAUGUACUUUUCAAUCCAAGCUCACUUUUUGUUCCAAAAAGCUCCAAAUUGCAUCAUUUCAUGUAAUAUGUCCUUUAAACCUGAAAACACAUGAAAUUAGCUUAAAAGACUACUUUAACGAAGAAAACAUAACGAAAAUGCAUAAGAACUAGCUAACUAAGGCGCAUAAAUAUGCUCCUAUCAAAUUCCCCCACACUUAGCUUUUGCUAGUCCUCGAGCAACACAAAGAAACAAAAGAAAAACAAAACGAAACAAAACAAACAAAACACAGCCUAAACCCUCCAACAUUUGCCUCAGGGAUCUCCAAUGCACAUUACAUGUUAAGAAUCGUCAUUCCCACAGAUUUUAGUCAUCUUUACACUUAAGCACACACUUAAGCAUAGUCACCACGUACUAGUUCACCUUUAACCAAUUAAAACAUGAUUUUGAACGUAGUAACAUGCCUUAGAGAAUUUGCUCAAUUCCUUACUAGAUAUGCACUCAAUUUUCACACAGAUUUUCUGACUACACACCCUAUACUAGUCAUAUGUGAGAAGAUUGAUGUAGAUAUGAACACGAACGCUCACAUAUGUUAUAACAAGGAAAGCUUUUUCUGAAUUUAAUAAGCAUGUAUAUGAUCUCAUGAAAGGAAUGCUACUACUUAGACGCGAGAACCAGUGACACCAUAUGCUCAUACCAAUCCCAAACUCCACAAAUUGAAAUACACAACACUCAAGAUAGAAGUUAAGGGUUGUAACGGGGCUUGGGGUAUUGGCUAACAAAGAAAGGUGAAGGAUAAACAAACGUUCUUAAAACAAUAGUAAGCAAAGCAAUGAAAUUGACACUUAGAAUUCACUUUUGAAUGCAAAAAUCAACUUUUAAACUCAAAGGGGAAAUUCAUGCAACACUUAGGGUCAAAUUCAAUGUUUUGGACCCUUUCUUCAACAACCAACACCUUAGAGCUCAUUUUCAUGCUCUUUCAACUCUUUUCCACACUUUUCACAACAUUUUUCUUUUUUUCUUCUUUUUUCUACGGAUUUUUUUUUCCUUUUCUUUUUCUUUUCUACCCCAUGCCUCAUUUAAGACUUUGGCACACAAUACACAAGGCUCACUUCCCCCCACACUUGUUUUCUGCACACCCUCGAUCAAAAGGAAUUCAUUUUAAGUCAUGCUUACUAUGCUUCAAGAACAAGGGUAUGGAUGGUCCUAAUCUAGGCUAGGUAAGGAUAAUGUGGGUUAACAAACAAUAUAGGCUAAAUAAGGCUCAACGGGGUUAAACCUACAAAAACAAAUGUAUGGAAUGAAGGCUUUUUGGAUAUGGUGGCAACUACUAAACAACUUCUUCUUGAAUAUGUGUUAUGCAAUUCAAUAACAUGUUUUGAAUGAAAUUGGCAUGAGUUCUAGCAUUUGGAACUAAAGUGAUAAAACGCAUUCUAAGUAGCAACCAAGCAAAGAAUAAUGAGAUCAUGCAACGACUUUAGAAAACAAGAAUGCACAGAUUAAUAACUCUCCAAAUAAAGUUUAGGCUCAAGUCUCUCAGGGAUGUAGCGUUAGUUUGAGUUUCUUCCUUCAAGCAUGUUACAAAAACUGAUUUUUUUUUCUUUUGAUUACAUGUGAAUUCAUAAGUUAUAACCACAACCAAGCAUAAACCAAAGAGUAAAUCAAACUUUCAUCCAUGUUUAUAACUUUCUUUAACAGUCAUGCAAUUAAAAACCGAAUCCUCAUCAUUGUGUUGGAAGGUACCCUAAGACACAAACAAACACACAAAAACAACUUAAAAACGACUCUUUUUGGGUUUUUUUAAAACAAUUUUUCAAAUUUUUUAUGGAAUUUUCGGAUUUUUGAAUCAAAACACAUUAAAACACACCAAAACAGCCUAAAAACAUCUAAAAACAGCAAGAAACAACAUUGGAAGUUAUGAGUGAGAAAACCCUACGAAUUUGCAUCAAAACACUUUGGUUACCCCCCCACACUUAAAUCAAACAUUGUCCUCAAUGUUUCAAGCAUAAACUAACACAAAUAACAAACGACACACAAACAGCAACUAACACACUAAACAUGGCAGAAACGAAAUAAUCAACAAAGAGAAGGGUUUAGGAACGCAAAUCUGGAAUUCGAGUGCUCUCUAGGUCUUCCUUUGUCGAAUGCAUGGGUUGCCUCCCACGAAGCGCUUGCUUUAACGUCUUCCAGCCGGACGGUACCUCCGUUUAAGCUUGACUAGGUUGCACGGCAUGGAGGGGUAUCUCCUCCACGACAUGCUCCUUAAACGUCUCAUAAUAGGGCUUCAAUCGAUGCCCAUUCACUUUGAAUUCUUGCUGCGUCCUUGAACUUUUGAUUUGCACUGCACCAUGAGGGAAAACAUUAGUGACAAUAAAAAGACCAACCCAUUUGGAACGUAACUUACCCGGAAACAACCGAAGGCGAGAAUUGAACAACAACACUUUCUGCCCAAUAGAGAACGUCUUGGCACGAAUCAUCUUGUCAUGGAAUGCCUUCGUUUUCUCCUUGUAAAUCCGGGCAUUCUCAUAUGCUUCAUUUCGGAUUUCAUCAAGCUCACACAAUUGAAGCUUCCUAUGUAGACCUGCGGCAUCAAGGUCCAUAUUGAACGUUUUGACGGCCCAAUGUGCACGAUGCUCUAACUCGACGGGAAGAUGGCAUGGCUUCCCAUAGAUGAGCCGAAAAGGUGACAUCCCAAUGGGGAUUUUGUAGGCAGUGCGAUACGCCCACAAUGCAUCGUUUAAGCGCAAACUCCAAUCCUUCCUUGUAGGCCCCACGGUCUUCUCAAGAAUCUGCUUGAUUUCCCUAUUCGAAACCUCGGCUUGCCCGCUCGUUUGAGGAUGAUAAGGUGUGGCCACCUUAUGCGUGACAUUGUAUUUCUUGAGCAACGCCUCGAUGGUUCGAUUACAAAAAUGGGAACCUCCAUCACUGAUUAGCACUCGUGGCAUUCCAAACCUUGCAAAAAUGUUAGUUUUCACAAAAUCUGCAACCACUCGAGAAUCAUUAGUUCAGGUGGCUUUUGCUUCCACCCAUUUCGACACAUAGUCCACAGCAAGCAAUAUAUAAAGAAACCCAUGUGACGAAGGAAAGGGACCCAUAAAAUCAAUACCCCAAACAUCAAAGAUUUCAACACUAAAAAUGGGGGUUUGCGGCAUUUGUUGUUUAGGACCAAUAGUGCCCGUUCUUUGGCAUCUAUCACAAGACAUGCAAAAUGUUCUAGCAUCCCUAAAGAUGGUAGGCCAAUAGAAACCACAUUCUAACACCUUAAGUGCUGUUCUUUGAAUGCCAAAGUGUCCCCCACAAGCAUAAGUGUGACAAAAGGUUAGAAUAGCAUUAAACUCAGAAUCGUGCACACACCUACGUAUAACUUGGUCAGGGUAAUAUUUCCAUAAAUACGGGUCAUCCCACACAUAAAACCGUGCCUCUUUCUUUAAUUUAUCACAUUGGUGUUUAAGUAAUUCACAAGGAACAUGUUUAGACACCAAAUAAUUCACCAAAUCAGCAUACCACAGUUCACUUACCUUGACAGACAUCAGUUGCUCAUUUGGGAAUGUCUCUAUGAUAGGCACGGCAUCCUCCUCAUGCACCAUACGGCUCAAGUGGUCAGCCACCACGUUUUCACUUCCCUUCUUGUCCCGGAUUUCGAUAUCGAACUCUUGGAGAAGAAGCAUCCAAGGAAUGAGUCGUGGUUUGGCCUCCUUCUUGGUGAAUAAAUACUUCAAUGCUGCAUGGUUCGUAUAAAUAACUUUAGUACCAAGCAAAUAAGAACGGAAUUUAUCUAAAGCAAAUACAACAGCAAGAAGUUCUUUUUCAGUGGUAGAAUAAUUCAAUUGUGCAUCAUUUAAAGUCCGAGAGGCAUAAUAGAUAACAUGCGGCCUCUUUUCCUUCCUUUGCCCCAAAACAGCUCCUAAUGCAUAAUCGGAAGCAUCGCACAUAAGCUCAAAAGGAAGGCUCCAAUCCGGUGGAACUAUGAUAGGGGCCGAAGUUAGCAUUUCUUUGAGGUGAUUGAACGCUUUCUCACACUCCUCGUUGAAGUCAAACGCCACAUCUUUCUGGAGGAGACGGCAAAGAGGGUUUGAGAUCUUGGAGAAGUCCUUGAUAAAUCGCCUAUAAAACCCUGCAUGACCAAGAAACGAACGAACCUCUCGAACCGAAGUAGGAGAGGGUAAGUAGCGUAUAAGAUCUAUUUUCGAUUUAUCCACUUCAAUUCCUCUUUCUGAAACAAUAUGCCCUAGAACUAUGCCUUGUCUAACCAUAAAGUGACAUUUUUCCCAAUUAAGCACAAGGUUAGUUUCUACACAUCGUUUCAAAAUUAUUGUGAGAUUUUCCAAACAACCAUCAAAUGAAUCACCAAACACACUGAAAUCAUCCAUAAAUACCUCAAUAAUCUUUUCCACAAAAUCUAAAAAGAUACUUACCAUACACCUUUGAAAUGUGGCCGGAGCAUUGCAUAAACCAAAAGGCAUGCGACGAUAAGCAAAAGUACCAAAGGGGCAUGUGAAAGUUGUCUUUUCUUGGUCAUCCAGUGCUAUGACAAUCUGAUUAUAUCCAGAAUAACCAUCAAGGAAACAAUAAAAACAAUGACCGGCUAACCUUUCAAGCAUUUGAUCAAUGAACGGCAAAGGGAAGUGGUCAUUCCUUGUGGUGGCGUUGAGCUUCCUAUAAUCAAUGCACACGCGCCAACCUGUUUGGAUACGGGUUGGCACAAGCUCAUUCUCGGCAUUCUUCACCACUGUCACUCCAGACUUCUUUGGAACACAUUGCACCGGUGACACCCAACGACUAUCAGAGAUUGGAUAAAUCACUCCACAAUCAAGAAGUUUGAUAAUCUCCUUUUUCACAACUUCCAUCAUUGGAGGGUUGAGACGGCACUGAGCCUCUCGAGUUGGUUUAGCCCCCUCCUCUAGAAGUAUGUGAUGCAUGCACGUAGUCGGGCUAAUUCCCCUAAUAUCGGCCAAAGUCCACCCAAUGGCCGUCUUGUGCUCUUUCAACACUCGGAUCAACUUCUCCUCCUCUAAGGCCGUGAGUGAUGAGGAGACAAUAACGGGCAAUGUCUCGUUGUCUCCCAGAAAGACGUACUUUAAAUGAUCGGGCAAUGGUUUAAGCUUAAGUACGGGUGCCUGAAUCACUGAGGGUAACAACUUAUUAGUGGAAACUGAAAUUGAAAUUGGGUUAGAAGGCUUACCAUGGUGUUGAGGUAGUGACUCAAGGGCAGCCACUAUCUCGGCCUCCUCCACACUUCUAGGCACGGCAAAACCAUAUUUUUGCCCAAUUCCUUGUGCAAUUGUCAUUUCAAGGGUAUCACUCUCCAAACAGUCGAGAAAAUCCUGCGCCAAAUCAUCAAUUAUAUCAAUAGAAAAGCAAGAAUGAUCGUCCUUAGGGAAUUUAAUACUUUCAGAAAGAUUGAAAUCAAUGACUUCCCCAUCAAAUUCCAUCGUUAAAGUUCCUUUAAACACAUCUAUCUUGGUGCGGGCUGUUUUCAUGAAGGGCCUCCCUAAUAGAAUCGGCAAUGGGGUGGAAUGGGGUGAAUCCUCCAUGUCAAGUACGUAGAAAUCCGCUGGAAAAUCAAGUUACCAACCUGCACCAAAACAUCUUCCAAAACACCCUUUGGAUAUGCAUUAGAACGAUCGGCUAAUUGAAUUAUAACACCAUCAUUUUUAAGCUCACCUAAGUUCAUAGAUGCAUAAAUAGAGUAUGGCAUAACAUUAAUCGAAGCCCCUAAGUCUAACAUGCAUUGUUCAAACUUAGUAUUACCAAUAACGCACAGAAUUGUAAAACUACCCGGAUCUUUGCAUUUAGGGGGUAAUUUCCUUUGUAACACAGCAGAGACAUUUUCACUUACUUGAACCACCUCUUUGUUCGAAAUCCUUCUCCUUGUUGUACAAAGUUCUUUUAAAAACUUAGCAUACCUCGGGACUUGCUUAAUCGCAUCAAGGAGCGGGAUAUUGACUUGAACUUUCCAAAAGGUCUCUAGAAUGUCCUUCUCAGCUUCUUCCUUCUUUGAUUGCCUAAACCUGCCAGGAAAGGGGCACAUUUAGUGGAAUAGAACUAGAAAAAGUUGAAUUGGGACUUACCUUGGUGGUUUGGGACGGUUUAGGAGGACUAGAUGAAUUCGGCAAGGUUUGGUCAUCCUUGGCCGUGGGCUUUGCUCCCUGUGCUUCUUCUUGCAGCAACUUGUCCUCCUCGUCUUGACUUGAUUUGGAUGUAUUUGAGUCCGUUCCAACCUGUUUACCACUUCUCAACAUGAUGGCCUUAGCGGUUUCAAAUCCUCCCUUCGGGUUCACAACGGUUGAACUAGGCAAUCUGCCUUGUUCUCUAAUUUGCCCCAUAAACUCGGCAAUUUGACCCAUUUGCUUCCCCAAAUUAUCCACCCGUUUGUCUUGGAUUUGUCUCUCCUUAUUUUGAGUUUGUACUUCCUGCGUCAAAGUAGUAAGUAACUUAACAACUUGAUCAUUAUCCAAAGACGUACCUGAGGUUGUUGGGGCAGAUUGCACUUGGUUUUGAUUGGGGACGAAUGGCUUUGUAUAAAAGCCCGGUGGUUGCUGCCUAAAUCCUCCUUGUUGUUGGGGUUGUUGAGGAUCCCGCCAUUUGAAAUUUGGAUGGUCCCUCCACCCCGGAUUGUAGGUAUUAGAGUAUGGAUCAUGGCGUGGUUGAUUUUGGUUCCCAAAACCCACGGCAUUGGCAGAUUCCCAACCUCUAUUCUCAAUCAAUUGAGGGCAUUGAUCGUUGGCAUGUCCUUGCAUAGAGCACACGCCACACACACUUGGUCCAUGAAUCUUCAUUCCCUCGACCAACUGAGAAACAAUAGAAGUAAGGUUAGCUAAUUGGGAUUGAAUUUCGGGCAUAGAACUUACCUCAUUCACUUGUGGCCGUGGGGGGUCUCUUUGUCCAACACCUUCGUAUUGUUGUGCAUUAUGUGCUCGGUUGGCAAUUAGAACUUUUGCAGCCCCCGGAGUUUUAUCCACCAACGCACCUCCCGCCGAGGCAUUAAGCAUUUGGCGUUCCAUGGGAAGGAGUUCUUCGUAGAAGUAUUGAAUGAGCAGCUCCUCCUUCAUUUGAUGCUGUGGACAAGAAGCAACAAGUGAUUUAAAACGUUCAUAAUAAGAAGGAAACGAUUCACCUUGAUUUUGUUGGAUGCCACUAAUCCGUUUCCUCAAGAGAAUGACUCUUGAAGUUGGGAAAAACUUCUCCAAGAAAGCUCUUUUCAUACUAUCCCAAGAUGUAACCGUUCCGGGUGCUAACUCGUAAAGCCAAUCCUUCGCCUUUUCCAAAAGUGAGAAUGGAAAAGCCUUCAUCAUCAGAAUGUUCCCGUCGACAUUUAUGGGUGUCAUGCUCGAACAAACAACCUCGAACUCCUUGAGAUGCUUGUUGGGAUCUUCCAUGGAAAGCCCAUGGUAUUUCGGAAAGUGGUGCAACAAGCUUGACUUCAACUCGAAUUCAUCGGUCUUGCCUUGGGCAGCCGCGGGGUAUUGAAUGCAUAAUGGUGCGGCAUUGGUCAAUCCCGAGGCCAAAAGCUCUUUAAUGGUCCGAUUGUCCGCUGCCAUAACUUCUUCUUCUACUUCUUCAAACUCAGAUUCGGCCUCUGAACUUGAACUAGGUUCACUAGGUUCGGGAUGCCUCCUCUGUCUUCUCAAAUCACGUUCAAAAUCGUCGUUAAAGUCCAAGAUAUGUGCAUGCACAGUUUGAGAACUCCGCGUCAUGCACUAGUACCUAAACCAAGAAAACAAAACAAAAUAAGAAAACUAGGUAAAUUAUACUAAAAACACACGGCAAAAACACAAGGGAUUAGCAAUUUUGCUAAUCCCCAGCAACGGCGCCAAAAUUUAAUGUGAAAAUUAACUUGACACACAAAUUAAACCCUAUGGAUGACAAUUGUAGUAUAUGAGCAAAUAGGGAUCGUUCUAAACCGGGGAUUAACUAGGGUUGCUAAUCUACUCAAAUUAAACUUUAAAACACUAAACUAGACUUAAAAACACAAGAAUAGACUCUAUAGACUCUAAUCUGACCUAAGACACUCAAAUCUGCAAAACUUAGUGAAAUUGACUCAAUUCUAAACCUAACAAGUGAUUUAGACAAAAUUAACUCUUACUUUGACUCAAAAGAUUAAAAGAAACAGAUUGUAACUUAACUAACUCAGAAAACACUUAAAAGACUCAAAACAGAUUCUAGAGAUGAAAUUGGACGAAUUUAAGACUAAACUAAGACUCAAACAAUGUUUAUGGACUAAACCUAACCUAUUUUGACUCAAAACACUCUAAAGAACCUAAUUAGGACAGAUUCUGACCUAAUAACAUAAAACAGAAAAGGGUGUUUGAUUUGUUGACGAAAUUGAAUUAAAACUAAACAAAUUGCAAAUCAAGCAAACUAAAACGAAAUUGAGAUGAAUUCAAGGGUGAAAAGCUAGUUAGAGGAUCCUUAUCCACACAUGAACAUAUGCAUAUAAUUUGAUUCCCAGUUAUGACUUCAACAAACGAUGAAUGACAAUGCUCCAAGUUAAUUAGGUCCGCUUAAAUUAACUUUCUGAUUUCCCUAGAUUCAUUGGAUUGAAUGGAAUACGCAUUACAACCAAAUUAUUCCUCAUCAAAGUCCCUAACUAUGGAAUACGCAUGGUAGAGACAUUCAACAAAUCAUUAAGUUCAACGGAAAUCAUAAACAUCGACUAGGCAUUCAUAACUAUGGAAUACGCAUGUUAAUCCAGCCUAGGGUUUACUUAACACAAUCGUGACUAGCGACUUUUACUACUUAUGAAUAUAAGUUAAUAACGAUUAGGUGAAAUUCCCUUAUAUCCUAGCAUCAAGUUUAGGCAUGCAAAUUAAGUGUCGACCCUCAACCCACAUACAUAAGCAUGUUAUCAAUCAAAACAGAAAAGUAAAACACAUCUAAAGUUCAUGAAUUCAUAACUAAAGUAAAUCAAAUCAUAACCAACAUAUGUCCAUGGCUUCAAAUUCGCCUCUAACUAAAAAGAAAUUAGUUCCACAUGUUUAACAUAAUUGAACAGCAAGUUAAAUUAAACAUGAAAACAGAAACAAGAGAAGAAAGAACUCCAAACACUCCACUAGUUGCAGAUUGCAUGUGCAAGGUCUCUUCCUUCCUUUGGUUUGCACGGCACUACUCCUCUCCUCCUUCAAUGGUGGCUGCACAAGGUGGUUAUGGUGAUGGAAAGGUGCGGCUAUGGUUGAAUUUUGGCAGAAAGUUGGGAGUUUGGGGGUGGAAGCUGCGGCAAGAAUUAGAACUAGGGUUUUUGGGCGUGUAGAAUGAAUAUGGAGGGUGGUCCUUUCGGCCAAAGGGUUUAAUGAGUAUAUACAGGCACUUAAAAACCCUAGCAAAUCAGAUUAGGGUUUCUAGAAACCCAAAUCCACCAGAAAAUAGGUUAAAACAAUCAGAAUUUUAGUGGGAAAAGGGCCUAGGGUGCGGCAGGUUUUAAUGGGCUAGGGUUAGGGCUUCUAGAAUGCCUUGCAAGGCAAGGCAAAUAGGUGUUCUAGAAGGGAAAGGUGCGGCUGAUUAGUGGGAGUGUGGAUAGGGCUUCUAGAAAGCCCAAAACCAAGAGAAAAUAAGCCCUAACCCACGGCAAGGAUGAGAAAAUAUUCUAACACCUUUCUUUGUGUCUUCCAACGCUUCGGAACCUUCUAAUGUUGCUCAAACGCAAGGCCAUUUAGGUUUAGGAAAGAUCAACCCAAAAUGGAAACUUUUAGGCUUAGCUUUCCUACUUCAAGUAGGAAACCUCGUUUGAGUAGGAAUCUUCCUCUUCUCGGAAUCCAUCUUCAACUAGGAAUCCCUCGUUGAUUAGGAAUCCUUCUUCAGUUAGGACUCCUCCUCGGACUAGGAAUCCUUCUUGUACUAGGAAUCCUUAAAUCUUCAAAUCUUCAAUUUCAUCCCAACCUUGUGUUCCAAGCAUGUACUUUUCAAUCCAAGCUCACUUUUUGCUCCAAAAAGCUCCAAAUUGCAUCAUUUCAUGUAAUAUGUCCUUUAAACCUGAAAACACAUGAAAGUAGCUUAAAAGACUACUUUAACGAAGAAAACAUAACGAAAAUGCAUAAGAACUAGCUAACUAAGGCGCAUAAAUAUGCUCCUAUCAUUAAUUAACAAAAAAAAUUGUUUUUUUCAUUAUUUAAAUCUUUUUAUUCACAUGUCAAUAUUUAAUUAGAAUUUGGGACCCAGUUAUAUGAUACAUUAGCAUAUAACAAUUUUUUUUACAGAAUCGUGACAGAAGAACCACAUUGAUUUGCAACACUUAUUUUUUAAAGACUACAUAAAUCAAUCUUCAAUUCCAAUGAUCAUCUUGAUGAGGUGGUUCGAUUUUAAGGACUAUUUGUGACAAAAACCAUAUAAUAAUAAGACACACCUCUGCCAUCUUCUCAAUAUCAAAAUGUUUAAUAGACAAAAAUGCAGGGUAUUGAAAGUCUUUAUGCAAAUUUGAACAUAAUUUCAUUAUAUGUCUCAACAUAUCCUCUAAAUGAACCUAAGAUGAACAACCAAUUGCAUGCAGUUCCAAACACCACCAAUGCCAUUUCAAGGGAAUAAUGACAUUUUCGGUGAUGAGCAACCAACUGAAGUUCCUCAAGACAAUGCCCAAUUUAGUGAAACUCUAUUAGAUGCGAGUUUUGAGUUCACUGUUGACUAUCAUGACAAUGCUCAUUCAGAUAAUGUGCAGUGUAAUGAUGCCAAUUUUAAUCUAUCGUCAUUUCGUCGUAAUAAGUAUAAUAAUAUUGCAUAUUGAAUAUAGAUGGAGAUGUUGUGGUCGGAUAGUUGUACUCAAGUAAGAAAGAGUUUAUAUGAUAUUGAACUCUCUUGCAGAUUUUAAGGGUAUAUUAGUACUUCUCGUUGGGCACGUCGUAUAAAGGAUAAGAUAGUAUUAAUAAUACGGGGUAAAUUGCGGUUUGACCCCCUAAACUAUUACCCCAGUUGACAUUGACCCCUUAAACUAUUGUUUUGGUAAAUUAACCCCCUGAACUAUUCAAAAUCAGUUCAUUAACCUGUCACGCCCCAAACCCGGGGUCGGUAAUAAAAACUCAAACCCCAAUCUGAAACGUGAGUUAUAAGCUCAAUAAAUAAAAGGAAAUUGACAUGGGUUGAAAAAAUGAACUUCUCUUAUUAAAAUAAUUCAUGAUUCUUAAACAAUCUUUACAACCUACAGUAAAUAAAUGAAUAAACUUGCUCUACUAUCAUCUAAUCCAGAUCUCAUCCUACCUACCCUCUUGAAUGUCCAGUUCGUAAACCUACAUAACAAUAGAGGGAUGAGCUUUAACAGCUCAGUAGGGACAUGACCUUAUCACAGUAAAUUGACAAUAUUAAAUUAAGUGUCAUGAAAUCAUAUAGCCAAAUAUCAAAUCAUUAUUGAUAAUAAUGCAUGAAUGCAAUGCAACUUCUUCAACUACCACCGUUAAUUUAUAUAAUAAAACAUGCGGACAUACAGGUUCCAUACUAUGCAUUUUACCCUUGCAGAGGUGGGUUAAAUGUUUUAUUAUAGAAACUAACCCCCAUAUGAUAUCCCAAGUUCAUAAACCCUUUUUGCUAGUCAUCUUAUAUAAUUCAUUGAUCUCCAGCCCAAAUCACCCACAUCGACAAUUCCCGUCGAUAUCAUAUUCUAAUGUGCACAUUGGGCUCGCCUGGAACUGGUUUCACAAUGAAUAGAUUCAACAACACAAAAGAUCAUUUCCAACUACCCUUAUUUCCAUACUUCCAAUCUAAAUACUGAAAUUCCAACCACAUCAACAUGAAUGAUGCACAAAUAACGUCAUUUUAUCUUUCACAUGUAUCACAGUACAUUCUCAACGCAUAACAUUCCAGCAUUAAUUUCAUAACCAAGAACAAGUAAACACUUAAUUGAAGCAAUUAGGCAAUUAUUAUCCAAUCACAUUAAUCAACCAAAAAGAUCAAGAAUAUUAUAGCACUUUAAGAAAUUUAAUAAAAUCAAUUUAUGUAAAGGUCUGCCUUAUUUCCCCUACAUGGAUUCUAAAGCUAAAACAAAGAUCCACGUCACUACCUGAAUAGCUAAGCUUCACAUACUUAUCCACGUCACUACCAAAAUAGUUAAGUUCCACGUACUUGAGGAAGCUCCAUGAUCGCUCCUAACACCAUAUAUUUCUUCUACUUUUAUUUUCUAAUCUCUCUCUAUAUGUAUGUGAAGGAUUAUUUUGUGAAAACAUGUUCAUUUGAAUAACAUCUAUAGCAUGCAUUUAACAAUUAAAAGGCGGAAUCAUGCUUGCAUGCAUUCAAAAACAAAACAUUACUCAUGAAAUUCAAAGCCUAGUAGAUUGGUGAACCAAGACUCAACUCAAAUCAAAGUGAGUUGAGAAAUAUAUACCUUUGUAGAUUCCUCUUUGCAUAAGCAAAGGCUAAUCACCCAAAGAGAGGGCCUUCAUUCCUUGCUUCUUAGAUCCAUGGAUUUGGAUGGAAGAAUAUGGUUCUCCAAGUUCUCAAAAUAGAGAACCUCUAAGUCUCCACACCAAGGUAAGAUUGAUGAAGAAAUGAGUGACCUUGGAGUAGUAGGAUUGCUAGCUACACCCUCCAAGGGGGCCGGCCUCCUAGAGAGAAAAGGAGAGACAUGUUCUCUCCAAUUUUCUUCAAAAGAACCCUUAAUGAAUUUUAGGCUAUAAAGUUCAUUAUAUAGUCACUUCUUUAAAUGACCUAAAGAACCAAAAACCCUAAUUCAACACACAUGGCCGGCCACAUGAGGGAUUUGGGCUUUUGGGCCUUUGUGAAUCUUUAUUCAUUAAAUUGUCAUACAACUUAAGUCAAUGGGCUUGAUGUUCGAAGCCCAUUGGGCCUUAAGGUCCAAAACUAUCCCAAGGUCUUUAACGAACUUAUUCGUUUGAUUAAUUAACAUAUUAAUUAAUCCUUGCCAUAAAUAAUUAAACCAUUUAAUUAUUCUUACUCAUCUCCAUUGUUUCUUCAAUCUCCACCUUACACGGUGUACGAUCCAUUAGGUUCCUUUUAGCGAGGCAGUGGGCGAUUAAAACUCUUUCAAAUCGAUUGUGAAUUGAAACUUACUUUCAAUUCUCCCUUUAGUGAUUAUACACGUUUAGGGCUUCCACAAACCAAGAGUGACACCUAGCAGCAUAUCAUGGUUACCCAAGCUAAUCAGAAGAGGUAGAGAACCUAUUCAGUUUAGGAUUACAAAUGCAAUACGGUCUUUCUCUAAUACAAUACUCUUGACCACAUUGUUUGGUUUGAUAGUUUAUUCAUGUCUACUAUCCAAUGUAAUUCGUGUGCUUAUAUGAUUACCUUGAAUGUGAUUUGGAACGACUUUCCUAAAUCUCAUUCAUACUCUGGCCAGAGAUUCUUAAUCAUAUCAUAGAGUAUUCUCCCCCAAACGGUUUGAAGGUUAGAGAUCCCUUGUUGCGCAUUCACUUGCCUCCAUAGCUAAGUGGCUUAACCCCAACUAUGCCGUGGACACCCUCAUGAUGGAGUGACUUUGACAUAAUCAAAGAUCAAGGACUUAACCACAAGACAACUAUGAUGCCUCAGGUCAAAGGACUACUUUGUAUUAUCCCAACCAUGAGUUCUCAUGUGACAUGAAUAUGAGAACUCUUUGUUGAUCGUGUUCAGUGAACUUAUUCUCUAUUGAGCACCUACGUAUUUGUCUUGAUGUCACACACACCAAUGACUCGAGACUAGUCACUCUCCCUAAGAGAAUACACAACACGUACUGAUCUUAACGGACUGUCAAUGCCCAAUUGGCAAUCCUAUGAUCAGGAACGUUUAGGAUGUGUCUACGAAAGAAUGGUCUCAUGAAUCUAACUUCUUUAGAUUGCAUUCUCCCAAUCACAUAUUCCUUGGACUUAUCGUUUAAGCUUAUAACAUUUAUAUGAGACGGCUCAAACAAUAAUCUUUGCCCUUGAUAUGAAACUAGAUUAGUUUAACAUGUGAAAUGUCCGUAAGGUAUCAUCAUAUGAUUGGUUUUAGGGCACAUUUCCAACAAUCUCCCACUUGCACUAGAGCCAAUCAGCUUGGUCAUCAGUGAUGAUACCUCUUCUGUAGUCAUUUCAUAAAUGGCUGAAUAGUAGGCCUAGACAAUGGAUAUCUAUAUGUUAUCCAUAGAAGCAACCUUGAGAAUAACGACGUCACCAUUAUACAUGAUUCUCAAUCAUGUGGUUCAGUCUCUCAUAUGAGUUCGGACCUUGAUGAGACCUUGAUUCCCUGGCUUGAGCUAUCGCCCCAUUAGUGUCAUAGUGUCAGUACACUAGAUACACUUUCUGGUUGGAACAGAAUAGAAAGUUCAUAAAUGAACUUUCCCAUCCAAACAACAUUGUUGUAAGCUUCUAUAUGGCAAUAUAUUUUGCAUUCAUAAUGGAACACACUAAAGUCAUUACUUUUAAUGUUUCCAUCCAAAUAUCUCUUUAGUCAUAAUAAAGAGAUAUCUGAUUAUCUCUUCAUUCAUAAUGAAGAAACAUCCAAUGAUGGAUUAGAUUCAUAAUCUAAUACAUUUACGCUUCCUUUAAGUUACUCUAAUUCUUCCUCAUUCUUUGAGGAAUCUGUCCUUUAGUAUUUCUUAAAUACUUAAGGACUCACUUGACAGUUGCCAUGGUUCUGAUCCUGGGCUUGCACUGAUAUCGUCUUGUACCGUUCUAGGUACAACUCAUAUCAAUGUUUUUCAUACAGUAUGAAAUACAUAAAUCACCUUUAUGCGUAUGCAUAAAGGAUUCUAUUUACGCAUUAUUUCUUUGGGAGUCAAAGAGUACGUUCUCUUUGAGAAGAGCAACUUCUUAGUCUCACUAGACCUGUCCUUCUAAUUGAAGUUUAUCAUCAUAUGAGAAACUUCCUAGCAUCUAUUGUCUAUUAUUAGGGAUUGAUAUAAUCCAAUUAUAUCAUGAAAUAUAUCAUUAUAGAUUUCCAUCCCAUGUAUAUAGACUAUAUCUCCCAUAUACAUUCUAUCUUCAUAUAAUGUUUCAAAGUCAUAACUUUAAAGAAGAAGUAUUCUUUUCAUUUCCAAAAUUAAUAUAUCAUAUAUAUUUAAAUUUUAGCAACAUGAUUAACUCCCAUAUACAUUCUAUCUUCAUAUAAUGUUUUAAAGUCAUAACUUUAAAGAAGAAGUAUUCUUUUCAUUUCCAAAAUUAAUAUAUCAUAUAUAUUUAAACUUUAGGAACAUGAUUAACUCCCACUAACCUUUUGUAAACCUAGUAAACAAAAGAUUCAUUUACAUCUUUAUGAGAAAUCAAACGAUUUGAUCCUUUUUCUCAUAAGAUGCUUAUAGCUCCCACUAGCUUGCUAAGAUUCAUGAUGGUUGGAUCUCUACAACUUAUAUGUCUUGUGAUUCAUAGUUUUAGACAUAUAUAUUAUCAAGACUAUCUUAAUAAUGGUUUCGGAAACCCAUAUAAUGUCCAAACAUUGAAUCACCAUUUAGUUGUAGCUACCUAUCUUCGAAUUAAUUGAAAAACAAGACUACGUCAAAGAUGGUUUCUUCAAAGUCAACCAUUCUCUUUGAUUGCAGUCACCUUAAGCUACCAAUUAGCUAUGGGGGUUUCAUUAUUUCGGGUCAAAUGGUACUUUACCAUUUCCUUGAGUAUAUAUCAUAUAUACACUCAAUGUAGUCAUAAGGAUUUUCAUUCUUAUUUCUUUCGAAUUAAGAGGUGCAACUCUAUGACAUAGUCAUAAAGUUCAAACCAUUCAACUGAGACGGUUUAUAAAUCCUUCUUGACUACCUUGGAGCUUGUGGUAUAGGAACUAGGUUGUUUAUAUUUGUUGAUUAUCAUCUUGUCUCUCAAAGAACCCAUUCUUUGAGUUCUAUCUCUCAUUCAUUUGCUCUUUAGGCAAAUCACAUUGUAGGAUUAAUGAACUACCCAACAAAACAACAUUUGUUAGUUGGUUUAUAGAAGCGAUAUCCAAAAGUUAAUUUAAGGAUAUCCCACAAGAUUCUUAUCAAACAAAUAUUGCUUAUUAGCACACAACCCCAAAUCUUAACAUGAUUAAGAUUUGUCUUUCUUUCCAACUACAUCCUAUGGAGUCAUGAAAAUUUUUGGAAGAUCUUUUAAUUGACAAUCAUAUUGUCUUAGAAGUAUAUAUCCUAUAUAUGGGUAAUUGAUAAUAUCCAAUGAACUAAAUCUUAUUCAAGUUCGUUCUUCUCCUUAUGGAGAAAUCCAUUAUCAUAUUGAUGCUUCUUUCCUUGAUAUCUUUCAAGAAAACAAUAUCUAAAGUGUUACCAUUCCUUGGAUCAAAUCUAAGGAUGUAAAUACUUUAGACGUCUUACUCAUCAACUUACAUUUCUUGAAUUCUUUGAAACCUUUUGCAAAGUAUUCGGACUUGUGUUUAUUCAAAAUAAACUAUAUAGUCCAACCGAGAGUGAUCUUCGGUGAAUGUCAUACAACAUGAGUAGUAUUAUGUUUGUGGACAAGUGCCACUAACAUCUAAGUGAAUUAACCUUAACAACUUUGUGAUUCUUUCUUCUUUCCAAAAGAAUAAAGAUUCGAACAUUUUCGCCUCGCCUCCAAUUUCAACAAGAAGGUAUUGGAUCCUGAAUAUAACGAUCCAAAGCAUCCAUCAAUGACCAACUCGUAAUUUAUGUUUUAGAGGUAUCAACAACUCAGUUGGGAUUAGUCACUACCUUGCAACCUUUUGGGUUUUAAGCAUCAUUAUAUUCUAAACAGUUAACACCACACCAUAUAUCAUCAUCUCUACUAUAUAGAGACAAUCAAUUAGAUUACUAUAAUCCAAUCAUUGAUUAAUAAAGAACAAUGUUUUUGUCAAACAAAACAUUCAUCCAUCUCUAUAGUGACGAAAUUAAAUUCCUUAAAAUUGGAAUGUAAUUAAGACAAUCUUUGGGUUUUCCAAUUUCUUAUUCAUGAGGAAGUAAGUUAUAUCUGCUUUCGCAGAGAUCUAUUUUUAUUCACGUUCCGAAUGUGAAGUACCUUUUCUUCUCUUCUUCUACUUUUUAUUAGUCACACUUUUGAUUGUAAAACAUAGUUUCUAAUACGGAAUCAAGCAUUCAAGUAGAAGAACAACUGUUUUGAACUUGAACUAUUCAAGAACAACAACACCUUCGAAAUGUUGUUUCUUCACUUGUAAGACAUUUCUUGCAAAUACCCCCUUCCAAUGUCCAUCAUUUCAUAAAGAAAGUUUGUUCCCUUUUGGAGUUAUUUUUUAUCUUCUUUAUUUGACUUUCAUUUUGACUUUACAUUAUCAUGUCUAAAUCCCACUUAUUCUCUUGAUUAUAUGUUUCAAAAUUGUGUUUACACAUCAAACAUUUUGGGUAUAGUUUUUAUUGUUCUAGUUUCAUAAAGUGUUUACAAAUAACUUUGUGAACCAUUUAGUUUCCGUUCGUUAAGUGGUUUAAGUGGUCACUUCAACACUCAAUGAUUCAAAAAUCAUCAUAAGUCCAUGUUGAUGGACUAUUUUUGUCAACCAACCAUUAUGUUCUAAACAUAAUUACAAACCUUCAAGAGUUGUACAAGGCAACUCUCAUUUUUCAUACAACAAUUUGUAAGUGAAGAAUCAUGGCACAUUAAGUGUCCAUGCCUUUGUGCUUUCUUCUAAAGUUCCUUGUUCAUGUAACAAAGAAACAAGCACUAAUGUUUGCAUUGAUUAAGGGUUGUUCAAAGCAACUCUUAUUUCUUCAUACAACAAAUUGUAAUUGAAGAAUUAUGACAUUAAAAGUGUUGUCCUCUUUAUGAUAGACUUUAUCUAACAUGUUCUUCCAAUGAUACAUUAUCAAUAGGAAGAUUGUGAGGAUGAGACUACUUAGGUACUUCUACAAUCCAUUUAAGACAAUCUUUGGGAUUGUUGUACCAAGUCCGGAAACUAAAGCAUUCGGUUUUUCUUUGUCAAGUUUUGGAUAACGUUUGCAAAUAUAUUGGUAAACAAAUACAUAACGAAUAUAAAUUGAUUGAUUUUAAGCCAUUUGAUUCGGGUCUUUAAAUCAAAUACCACCACCCACUAUUUUUGGCAAAUUCCAUAUCCCUCAUUGGAAUUCGAGAGUUUUGGAUGAAACUCUUAGUAGGGUAUGGGAGACUCACUACUACCAAGCCCACCUCACAAUGAUAUGAUGUUGGCUAGCAUUAAUAAUAAUGAGAGAGUACGCUUACUCAUUUGCAUCACUUGCAAGUACCCAUCUUAUUUGGCCUCUAGAGAAUGUCACCUCACAAUGAUAUGAUGUUGGCUCCAUUAGUUUGUGAAGGGUUCAAGAAUAGCCUCACAAUGAUAUGAUGUUGGCCAUCCUCGUUGCCUACACUCACCUCAUCAAGUAUGUAUAUAGACUCCUCCUGAGUAUAAGCAUGCACUUUGCACUCCCCCAUGAUAGGGUGAAGGCGGUGUACAAGUCAUAAACGAUUGGAGCUACCAUGGUGGAAGGCCACGAAAGAGUGUUCAAAGCACUCUCACGCUUAUCAACUUAAUAAUGGUUUGGUUGAGGGUUUUAGGUCUCAUCUCAUAUAAACAUACAUUUUAAUCUUAUUAAAACAAUUUUGGUCCUAUUACAACUAUUGGUCCAUUUGAUUGUUUUAGUUGUAUAUAAUACUCCCACUAUGCUUAUAAAACGGUUUUUAAAGCAAGAGUAUAUGAUAGUACUAACAUAAGGUUUGCAUUCAUUGAUGGACUAUAUAGUUGCCUUAGGGCCUUAGGAUGAUUAUGAACCUUUUAAUUAGAUCCAACACGAGCUGUGUUGAAUCUCGGUCUAGGGAUGGUG
RNAcentral lists this long non-coding RNA (29277 nucleotides) under Malus domestica (apple). RNAcentral describes it as "long non-coding RNA (MDOM_LNC010490)". Lineage: Eukaryota; Viridiplantae; Streptophyta; Magnoliopsida; Rosales; Rosaceae. The record is from RNAcentral.